CCUACGGGGGGCAGCAGUGAGGAAUAUUGGUCAAUGGGCGGGAGCCUGAACCAGCCAAGCCGCGUGAGGGAAGAAGGUACAGCGUAUCGUAAACCUCUUUUGUCAGGGAACAAAGGCGGGGACUAGUCCCCGGCUGAGGGUACCUGACGAAAAAGCAUCGGCUAACUCCGUGCCAGCAGCCGCGGUAAUACGGAGGAUGCGAGCGUUAUCCGGAUUUAUUGGGUUUAAAGGGUGCGCAGGCGGCCUGUUAAGUCAGCGGUAAAAGCCCGGGGCUCAACCCCGGCGAGCCGUGGAAACUGGCGGGCUGGAGUGGGAGAGAAGUACGCGGAAUGCGCGGUGUAGCGGGGAAAUGCUUAGAUAUCGCGCAGAACCCCGAUUGCGAAGGCAGCGUACCGGGUCCAAACUGACGCUGGGGCACGAAAGCGUGGGUAUCGAACAGGAUUAGAUACCCUUGUAGUC
This 459-nucleotide ribosomal RNA is filed under the name uncultured bacterium. Its description in RNAcentral is "partial 16S ribosomal RNA". It matches the Rfam family "Bacterial small subunit ribosomal RNA", at positions 338 to 795 of the family's 1533-position model. The record is from RNAcentral.